Molecule: transfer RNA, 70 nt
Filed under: Camelus bactrianus (Bactrian camel)
Lineage: Eukaryota; Metazoa; Chordata; Mammalia; Artiodactyla; Camelidae
Also listed under: 1 other name
Rfam family: tRNA
About the family: Transfer RNA (tRNA) molecules are approximately 80 nucleotides in length.
Source: Rfam by way of RNAcentral
GGGUAUAGUUCAGUGGUAGAGUACAUGCUUAGCAUGCAUGAAGUCCUGGGUUCAAUUCCCAGUACCUCCA